Molecule: ribosomal RNA, 1683 nt
Filed under: metagenome
Description: bacterial LSU rRNA
Rfam family: Bacterial large subunit ribosomal RNA
Source: RNAcentral
AAAAGGAUGCGCGGUAGAGGAGCAAUGUGCAGAGGCAGAAGCCGUAUCGAGAGGCACGGUGGACACUGCACAAGAGAGAAUGCUGGUAUGAGUAGCGAGAGGCAUGCGAGAAACAUGCCCGUCGAAAGCCCAAGGUUUCCUGGGGAAGGUUCAUCCGCCCAGGGUAAGUCGGGGCCUAAGCCGAGGACGGAAGUCGUAGGCGAUGGACAGCAGGUGUAGAUUCCUGCACUACCGAUGGAAUGAAGCAGUGACACAGAAGGAUAACUCGAGCAGGGUGAUGGUCAACCCUGUGCAAGCAUUGAGGUUGGGUUGUAGUGAAGUACGCAAUCCUAUAAGCUGAGAUGUGAUGCGGACCGAAAUUUCAGUAGGGAAGCGAGUGAGUUCACGCUGGCGAGAAAAGCUGCUAGUACAUCCAAAGGUACCCGUACCGGAAACCGACGCAGGUGGGCGAGGAGAGAAUCCUGAGACGAACGGGAGAACCCUUGUUAAGGAACUCGGCAAAAUGACCCCGUAACUUCGGGAUAAGGGGUGCCUGCGAGAGCAGGCCGCAGAGAAUAGUCACAAGCGACUGUUUAGCAAAAACACAGGUAUCUGCGAAAGCGAGAGCUGACGUAUAGGUGCUGACACCUGCCCGGUGCUGGAAGGUUAAGGGAACAUGUUAGAGCAAUCGAAGCAUCGAACCGAAGCCCCAGUAAACGGCGGCCGUAACGAUAACGGUCCUAAGGUAGCGAAAUUCCUUGUCGGGUAAGCUCCGACCCGCACGAAUGGUGUAACGACUUGUGAGCUGUCUCAACAGGGGGCCCGGUGAAAUUGAAGUAUGGGUGAAGAUGCCCAUUACCCGCGACUGGACGGAAAGACCCCGUAGAGCUUUACUGCAGCCUGAUAUUGAGUUUCGGUAACUGAUGCACAGGAUAGGUGGGAGUCUGAGAGACUUGGGUUUCGGCUCAUGUGGAGACGGUGUUGGGAUACCACUCUUCGGUUACUGAAAUUCUAACAUAGCUCUGUGAAACCAGAGGAUGGACAGUGUCAGGUGGACAGUUUGACUGGGGCGGUCGCCUCCGAAAGAGUAACGGAGGCGCCCAAAGGUACCCUCAGAAUGGAUGGAAACCAUUCGAAGAGCGCAAGGGCAGAAGGGUGCCUGACUGCGAGAUUGACAAAUCGAGCAGAGACGAAAGUCGGGCUUAGUGAUCCGGCGGUAUUGAGUGGAAAAGCCGUCGCUUAACGGAUAAAAGCUACCUCGGGGAUAACAGGCUGAUCUCCCCCAAGAGUCCUCAUCGACGGGGAGGUUUGGCACCUCGAUGUCGGCUCGUCGCAUCCUGGGGCUGAAGCAGGUCCCAAGGGUUUGGCUGUUCGCCAAUUAAAGCGGCACGCGAGCUGGGUUCAGAACGUCGUGAGACAGUUCGGUCCCUAUCCAUCGUGGGCGUAGGAGUCAUGAGAGGAGCUGUUCCUAGUACGAGAGGACCGGAAUGGACGCACCACUGGUGCAACUGUUGUCGUGCCAACGGCAUAGCAGGGAAGCGAAGUGCGGAUGGGAUAAACGCUGAAGGCAUCUAAGCGUGAAGCCCACCUCAAGAAUAAGACUCCACAAUAGACCCCUGGAGGACUACCAGGUAGAUAGGUCAUCGGUGGAAGCGCUGUAAGGCGUGUAGCUUGAUGAUACUAAUCGGUCGAAAGCUUCAUUAA